Long non-coding RNA from Drosophila biarmipes, 544 nucleotides. RefSeq lists it as uncharacterized. The transcript is spliced from 3 exons. The record is from RefSeq and is a predicted model, not a curated record. NCBI's taxonomy places the organism in Eukaryota, Metazoa, Arthropoda, Insecta, Diptera, Drosophilidae.
ACCGCUGCAAUAAAGGUUUAAAAACAUUGUAGUUUUUAAAUAUCGAUGUUAUUCAAUCUCAAAAUUAAUGUUUUAAAUUAAACGUAAACAUCGAACAAAUUUAAAAAAAAAUAUCAAAUAUUUAUUAAAGAUUCAUAGAAAGUCUUAAAGUUCAUAGCAAGUUCAGUGUUUCAAUUGAUAAAAAGUCACUUAUAAACUACUGUAGGUAGUUUUGUACGAGUACCUGCGUUCAAAUAUUAGUUGCUAAACAAAUCUACAAAUGAUAAAAAUUACACUAGUUAACAGCCAAAAUACUUAAAAAGCAUCCACCAUGGAUGGUAAUCCAAUAACAUUUUAAAAGAACACCACAACGCCAGGCGCACAACCGAAACCUACUAUCAUAACUACAGAUUUUUGCCAGCUGCUGAAAAAAAAGAACCAGAUUUCCACCAACGGUUCGCAUCUUAUCGACUAAAAAAUUAAAAACAAUGAAAUAUAAGAAAUUAAAGAGCAUUUAUUUUUCAUACUAUAGCUUUGGUGCCUUUCGUUUCCAAAGGUUUCCAAA